This is a non-coding RNA of Osmia lignaria (orchard mason bee), 400 nucleotides long. The record is from RefSeq and is a predicted model, not a curated record. Lineage: Eukaryota; Metazoa; Arthropoda; Insecta; Hymenoptera; Megachilidae.
GUUGUAUGUACUCAUAGUGCAUGAAACGUUACAUAUGCAGAGAAAUCGCGCUCGCGUGUAUUCGUAAUAUUUUGCACUAGCUUUUAUAAUUCAUAAAAGCCUUUUACGUCACUCAAUUAAUGCUACACGGUAUUUAUAAUUAGAGAAGAGUCCACUGAAUUUGCCAAAAUUACAUACAGAAAUGCUUUAUACAAGAAAUUCGUUCUAUUAAAUGCGUAUCAUCCCUUGAAAAUAUUGAGCUUGCUCCCCUACAUCAUUACUGACAAAGUAGGCCAAGAACAAGGUUAACUCUAACAUUGACUCGAAGAUAUCAGCAGUAGUAUCAACUGCAAUGUUCAAAUCGUAAAUUUGAAAGUUCAAAUUUUCGAUUUAAAUUGAUUGUAAUAAAGUAUCAAGCACA